UACAGAGGGUGCGAGCGUUAAUCGGAAUUACUGGGCGUAAAGCGUGCGCAGACGGUCAUGUAAGUCGGGUGUGAAAGCCCCGGGCUCAACCUGGGAAUUGCAUUCGAGACUGUGUGGCUAGAGUCCGGAAGAGGCGAGUGGAAUUCCUGGUGUAGCGGUGGAAUGCGCAGAUAUCAGGGGAACACCGAUGGCGAAGGCAGCUCGCUGGGACGGUACUGACGCUGAGGCGCGAAAGCGUGGGGAGCGAACAGG
Molecule: ribosomal RNA, 252 nt
Filed under: uncultured bacterium
Lineage: Bacteria
Description: partial 16S ribosomal RNA
Rfam family: Bacterial small subunit ribosomal RNA
Source: RNAcentral